GGCAAUGAUGGUCGGUAUGGAGCAGUUCGACCUGCUGGUUCAGCAGGUUAGAGGCCUCACCGAAGUAGUGCAGGCCAUGCAGCAGUAGCAGCAACAGCUGCAGGUGUCAGUGUGGUUGGAAAGAGCAUCGUCGGAGUUCCAAGAUCUGAUAGUAGGGCAGGCCACUUGGGCCAGUCGUCCUAUUUUCCCCGAAAAAGGGAAUCCGAGGGUGGAGAGCCCCNNNN
Molecule: long non-coding RNA, 224 nt
Filed under: Elaeis guineensis (African oil palm)
Lineage: Eukaryota; Viridiplantae; Streptophyta; Magnoliopsida; Arecales; Arecaceae
Description: long non-coding RNA (EGUI_LNC076512)
Source: RNAcentral